GUUGGUGGGGUAAUGGCCCACCAAGCCGAUGAUCGGUACGGGUUGUGAGAGCAAGAGCCCGGAGAUGGAACCUGAGACAAGGUUCCAGACCCUACGGGGUGCAGCAGGCGCGAAACCUCCGCAAUGUACGGAAGUGCGACGGGGGGAUCCCAAGUGUUAUGCUUUUUUGUAUAACUUUUCAUUAGUGUAAAAAGCUUUUAGAAUAAGAGCUGGGCAAGACCGGUGCCAGCCGCCGCGGUAACACCGGCAGCUCGAGUGGUAGCUGUUUUUAUUGGGCCUAAAGCGUUCGUAGCCGGUUUGAUAAGUCUUUGGUGAAAGCUUGUAGCUUAACUAUAAGAAUUGCUGGAGAUACUAUUAGACUUGAAGUCGGGAGAGGUUAGAGGUACUACCGGGGUAGGGGUGAAAUCCUAUAAUCCUGGGAGGACCACCUGUGGCGAAGGCGUCUAACUGGAACGAUCUUGACGGUGAGUAACGAAAGCCAGGGGCGCGAACCGGAUUAGAUACCCGGGUAGUCCUGGCCGUAAACGAUGUGGACUUGGUGUUGGAAUGGCUUCGAGUUGUUCCGGUGCCGAAGGGAAGCUGUUAAGUCCACCGCCUGGGAAGUACGGUCGCAAGACUGAAACUUAA
Molecule: ribosomal RNA, 627 nt
Filed under: uncultured archaeon
Lineage: Archaea
Description: bacterial SSU rRNA
Rfam family: Archaeal small subunit ribosomal RNA
Source: RNAcentral